Molecule: ribosomal RNA, 910 nt
Filed under: uncultured bacterium
Lineage: Bacteria
Description: bacterial SSU rRNA
Rfam family: Bacterial small subunit ribosomal RNA
Source: RNAcentral
AGAGUUUGAUCAUGGCUCAGGAUGAACGCUAGCGGCAGGCUUAACACAUGCAAGUCGAGGGGCAGCAUACCCAGCAAUGGGUGAUGGCGACCGGCGGAAGGGUGCGUAACGCGUGAGCAACAUACCCUAUACAGGGGGAUAAGCCAGGGAAACUUGGUCUAAUAUCCCAUAGGAAAUAGAUAAGGCAUCUUGUUUAUUUUAAAGCUUCGGUGGUAUAGGAUUGGCUCGCGUGACAUUAGCUAGAUGGAGGGGUAACGGCCCACCAUGGCAAUGAUGUCUAGGGGUUCUGAGAGGAAGAUCCCCCACACUGGGACUGAGACACGGCCCAGACUCCUACGGGAGGCAGCAGUGAGGAAUAUUGGACAAUGGAUGGAAAUCUGAUCCAGCCAUGCCGCGUGCAGGAAGACGGCCCUAUGGGUUGUAAACUGCUUUUAUACGGGAGCAAUAAGGUCUAUGCAUAGAUUGAUGAGAGUACCGUAUGAAUAAGCAUCGGCUAACUCCGUGCCAGCAGCCGCGGUAAUACGGAGGAUGCGAGCGUUAUCCGGAUUUAUUGGGUUUAAAGGGUGCGUAGGCGGCUUUGUAAGUCAGCGGUGAAAUUUUGCAGCUUAACUGUAAAAGUGCCGUUGAUACUGUGAAGCUAGGAUUUGGUUGCUGUGGGCGGAAUGUGUGGUGUAGCGGUGAAAUGCAUAGAGAUCACACAGAAUAUCGAUUGCGAAGGCAGCUCACAAAGCCAAUAUUGACGCUGAGGCACGAAAGUGUGGGGAUCAAACAGGAUUAGAUACCCUGGUAGUCCACACUGUAAACGAUGAUAACUCGCUGUCGGCGAUAGACCGUCGGUGGCCAAGCGAAAGCGAUAAGUUAUCCACCUGGGGAGUACGACCGCAAGGUUGAAACUCAAAUGAAUUGACGG